This 287-nucleotide long non-coding RNA is filed under the name Lathyrus oleraceus (garden pea). Its description in RNAcentral is "Pisum sativum (pea) long non-coding RNA (PSAT_LNC000130)". Lineage: Eukaryota; Viridiplantae; Streptophyta; Magnoliopsida; Fabales; Fabaceae. The record is from RNAcentral.
AAAUAAGCAAAAUAAAUUAGAUAAAUGCUUAAGUAUAAUUAUAGAAGAAUGUACAUCAAAAUGCACUGAUCAAAUUCCCCCACACUUGAACUUUUGCACUCCGAGUAAAAUUACAAUUUCAAAACAAAAGGAAAGAAAACAGAGCAUGCACUUCCAAAAAAUUUCAAGAUACAAUGUAUAAGCAUAAUUCUAAGUCUAAGCUUCAAGAAUAUGGUGUUAGUAAGCAACUUUUUGUGACAUUCAAAGCAGAUAAAAAAACAGAUUACCAAAAAAUACAUCAACAGCAG